AUACGGAGGGUCCAAGCGUUAUCCGGAAUCAUUGGGUUUAAAGGGUCCGCAGGCGGUCAAUUAAGUCAGAGGUGAAAGCCCAUCGCUCAACGAUGGAACUGCCUUUGAUACUGGUUGACUUGAGUUAUACGGAAGUAGAUAGAAUAAGUAGUGUAGCGGUGAAAUGCAUAGAUAUUACUUAGAAUACCGAUUGCGAAGGCAGUCUACUACGUAUAUACUGACGCUGAGGGACGAAAGCGUGGGGAGCGAACAGGAUUAGAAACCCUGGUAGUCC
This 274-nucleotide ribosomal RNA is filed under the name uncultured bacterium. RNAcentral describes it as "partial 16S ribosomal RNA". It matches the Rfam family "Bacterial small subunit ribosomal RNA", at positions 523 to 796 of the family's 1533-position model. The record is from RNAcentral.